RNAcentral lists this ribosomal RNA (499 nucleotides) under uncultured bacterium. Its description in RNAcentral is "bacterial SSU rRNA". It matches the Rfam family "Bacterial small subunit ribosomal RNA", at positions 30 to 524 of the family's 1533-position model. The record is from RNAcentral.
AUUGAACGCUGGCGGUAUGCUUAACACAUGCAAGUCGAACGGUAGCAGGCCUUCGGGCGCUGACGAGUGGCGGACGGGUGAGUAACGCGUAGGAAUCUGCCUCAUAGUGGGGGACAACGUGGGGAAACUCACGCUAAUACCGCAUACGCCCUACGGGGGAAAGCGGGGGAUCUUCGGACCUCGCGCUAUGAGAUGAGCCUGCGUUAGAUUAGCUAGUUGGUAGGGUAAAGGCCUACCAAGGCGACGAUCUAUAGCUGGUCUGAGAGGACGAUCAGCCACACUGGGACUGAGACACGGCCCAGACUCCUACGGGAGGCAGCAGUGGGGAAUAUUGGACAAUGGGCGCAAGCCUGAUCCAGCAAUACCGCGUGUGUGAAGAAGGCCUUAGGGUUGUAAAGCACUUUCAAUUGGGAGGAAAAACCUGUCGGUCAAUACCCGGCAGCUUGACAUUACCUUUAGAAGAAGCACCGGCUAACUCCGUGCCAGCAGCCGCGGUAAU